This 468-nucleotide ribosomal RNA is filed under the name uncultured bacterium. RNAcentral's name for it is "partial 16S ribosomal RNA". It matches the Rfam family "Bacterial small subunit ribosomal RNA", at positions 28 to 507 of the family's 1533-position model. The record is from RNAcentral.
GACGAACGCUGGCGGCGUGCUUAACACAUGCAAGUCGAACGGAAAGGCCCUGCUUUUGUGGGGUGCUCGAGUGGCGAACGGGUGAGUAACACGUGAGUAACCUGCCCUUGACUUUGGGAUAACUUCAGGAAACUGGGGCUAAUACCGGAUAGGAGCUCCUGCUGCAUGGUGGGGGUUGGAAAGUUUCGGCGGUUGGGGAUGGACUCGCGGCUUAUCAGCUUGUUGGUGGGGUAGUGGCUUACCAAGGCUUUGACGGGUAGCCGGCCUGAGAGGGUGACCGGCCACAUUGGGACUACGAUACGGCCCAGACUGCUACGGGAGGCAGCAGUGGGGAAUAUUGCACAGUGGGCGGAAGCCUGAUGCAGCAGCGCCGCGUGCGGGAUGACGGCCUUCGGGUUGUAAACCGCUUUCGCCUGUGACGAAGCGUGAGUGACGGUAAUGGGUAAAGAAGCACCGGCUAACUACGUG